Triplophysa rosa is the source of this 2566-nucleotide long non-coding RNA. RefSeq lists it as uncharacterized. NCBI's taxonomy places the organism in Eukaryota, Metazoa, Chordata, Actinopteri, Cypriniformes, Nemacheilidae. The record is from RefSeq and is a predicted model, not a curated record. The transcript is spliced from 8 exons.
UUCUGUUAUUGUUUGCACCUGUGCCUCGUUCUCCCUGUAUGUAUUUAAACCCUUAGAUCUCCUCUGUUUCUUCGCUCUAAGUUUUAACGUUAGCACACAGUCUAUGGGAAGCUUUGGACAUUUUAUUGUGCCCGCUGGAUUAUCUGGUUUUUGGAGCUCUGUUUCGGGGUUAGUGUUUAUUACUGGAUUUUUUUCGAGGCUUUUUGUUGUACCUACUUACCUUGUGGAUUUACCUUUUGGAAUUACUCUUGACUUUGUGGAUUUAUAUUUUUUUGCCUGGAGCUUCUUAAACAUCGUCUCAAGUACUGCUGUGUCUGCCUCAUCAUCUGGGUUCUGCAGACCCCUUGUGACUCAGUGGACCGAGUGACUCUUCCACAUCGGAGACCUGAGUUCUUGCCCGGGUCGUGAAAGUUUACUGUGUGCUUCGCGCGGGAGCCGAGGAUUGCUUAGCUAAACGGCCCUAAACCGUUUCCCAUUCAUUUUCAAUGGUAGUGCUAAAACACUACGGAUGCAAUAUUAUUUUGGCCACUGACGCUCUGUGGCGCACUUCCGCGUCUUGCACCGCCGGGAGAUUUGAAGCCUCCGAUAUUGCAGUCGGAUAAUAUUGCUUCCGCGUCUGAAAGACGAGACACGCUCAGAACUUUGCUCGUUUCAUUCAGCGCUUUUUCGUCUCAUCGAUCAAAGGAACGUUUUUUCACAACCUCCGCUUGUUUAGCGAUACGCGUGUGCUGAUUUUUACACGAGUCGUUUUUGUCAAAAACUCCGGUCGUCAUGCAGAAAGUUUUUUUUUUUUCCUGGAAGGGUUAAAGUCACGUUCUGUAAGGGACCGCUGGGAUAUCUUCUGCAGGAUCCAACUGACCAGGCCAGGGCGAUAAAAAAACAACCCAUCUUUGCUGGACAAGUCGGCACCAAUUAAGGAGGAGCUUGUCGGACAAAAUGCUCUGAAUGUGGUCCGUCAAAGAGGAGGUGAUGCAUCAGACCAAAAAUACGUUUUUGGAGUACAUCCUGCAGUUUGGAAAAUACAAGGGGAAGUCCUUCCGGUGGCUCCUUGAAAAUGAUGUGGGGUACACCAUCUACCUGAUAAAGAACCUUCAGCAGGAAGAGGCUGCAGGAGUUACAAUGACUGAGCGGCACAGCAAGAGCAGCCUAGUCUCUUUUGUGAAGUACGCCCACAGCUUUGAGGAAAUCCAGUCUCUUCUAAGCUGUUUCUAAAACUCCAGCUGCACCAGUGGCCUCAUCGGAGAAAGACCAGCUGCUUGGUUUCGGCGCUCGUGCCAAGAGUACAUGGAGGGAGAUUUGGGACAGCAGAGCUGAUGGUUACGCUUCCUUUAUAAUGGGGGCAAAAUGUGUCCGAGGGACGUGGAUGUAUAAACUGCAACAAUACCUGUUGAAGCAGCAGCAGUAUGCCCGUACGCGUGUGCCUGCCUCAAGUGCCACAUCUGAGCCCACAGAGAUGGAUGAAGAUGCUGAGCUGGAGAGUGAAGUGCUGAACAUCACCCCCUCUAACCCUACUGGUGCAAUCGCCAGCACAAUCUUCAUCAGUGUCCUCAGCUGCUGAAGUGAAACACUCCAUGGAAACGGCAACAGGCUUUUUGAACAUUUUAGACUCACCACUGUUGUAUUGAUGAAUUAUGUUAUGAAAUGUCAACUCGAUAUGAAUUAUUUUUGUCUUAAUGUGUCUGUGUUGGCUGUGUGUCACUAACAAAUCUGUGUGAUGUUGGCAUGAUACUAACUGUUCAAGGGGCUAUGAAUUGAUUCCCGCACCACGAUGAACUGAUAAAUCCCCGUUCUGGAACCAUCUACUGUUCUUUUAAAACCACUGACUGGCACUAUAAAGGAACUGCAUCUGUCUCCUGUGGAUGCACCAGCUCUGAAAACGCCUGAGCCCCUUCCUAAAGAGCUGAUGUUUCUUGUGCAGGAACCAUCGGCUUCUACACAAACAAUGAAAAGCGUUUCAGCCACAGCAGAGAGCAGUAUCUCUUGAGCUAGCAGGACACUUUCUUUUGCAGAAUGUAACAAAGAUGAACCAUGUUCCUCUGCUCCUGCUUCUUCAGUGUGCAGCCCACCACCUUUGUGACAGACAGUGGACAGAAUUACCAUAUUUAAUAUCAGUGGCUAUACUUUUUGUUUGUUCAAAUUUUCAAUCACACCCAGGCACAACUCUUCCCAGAGCUCCUGCUCCACAGCUUCCUGGAUACGAUCAUGACAUACAUCAGUGGAAGUGUUCUCAUCAACAAGAGGAUCUGGAUGAAGACCGAGCUGGAAUCCAUGGGUCUGUGGCCAGGCUCUCCUCCUGUGAGCAACCCCAUGAAGACUGUCACUGUGGCGUUUACCUCCUCAGCCUGAGCUGAUAGAAAGUCUCUGAUCUGCCUAAGGUCUUUUCCAUUUACAGAGAGCAUGGUAUGGAGAAGGAGAUGAGAUGGAAAGUUUCAGAAGUCUCAAUUUUACAACAUGGAAAGACAGAAAUGGGUUUCAGAAAAAAGUAAAUGAGAAAUUUCCCCAUGUAAAUAUAUUUUGCUUGUGUUUGUUCUGCCUGAAAGUGUUAAAACAAUAAAAACUACUAAGA